Molecule: long non-coding RNA, 1177 nt
Organism: Phodopus roborovskii (desert hamster)
Lineage: Eukaryota; Metazoa; Chordata; Mammalia; Rodentia; Cricetidae
Exons: 2
Source: RefSeq, a predicted model, not a curated record
GUCCCCGAGGCCCCCAGUCCCCCAGCCCCCGCCACCCCAGCGCCGGCCCCACUCACCCUUUCAUUCUCCGCCCGCGGCCUGGCGUGGGCCGGCGGAUCCCCGGCCUCACAUCAGAGAGGCGCUGGCAGUGGACUAGGAAGCUCGGCUGAUAUUGCUCCCGCCCUGGGCUUCAGCGAGAAUCUUUCCCUGUCGAGCAAGAGGGGUGAGGAUCAUAUUUUUAUUUUGGAAACUAAAAAGUGUUCCCAGGGUCGGUGAUCAUUAAGGGGAAAUCCCUGAAUGUACUCUCCAGCCAAGAAGGCAGGGCUGCCCGCCUGCACUGGAAGAGGCAGCAGCCUCCUACAGCACCACUACAGGCACUGCGAGGACAUAACACGUAGAGCAGUUCCUCCGCUCUCCGAAACGACAACUUUCCUACCAUCUUGGAGGCAGAGAAAAGAGGGGCCAAGGGGAAAAGUGCACCGGCUCCGGAUAAAGUACAAAUUUCUACCUCUCGUCUCUGGAAAAAGUCCACACUCGCGGUCUACACCGGCGCCUAGGGGUCUGAAAAGCAGGGAAGAAAUCAGAAACGAGUUCCUUUGCUCCGUGGGGGGCAGCAAUGUUUCUGCACCUUCUGAUGGAAAGAAAUCUUUACAAGACACAGGUUUUACGAUAUUAUUGUUUUCCAUUUUAGCUUUUUUUCCAUGAUGGUAACAGUGGUAGCUUAGUUUAUUUCUUUCAGGCUAAUAAUGAUUUUUCUCUAUGGCAGGUCCAAACUCUGUCUCUGGUGGUCAGUCUUGUAAAUUGGCACCUCAGAGAUGUAAGGUCACUUUAUUGUGUUUACUUUAUUGCCUGUUUAGAUUGUGUGUAUGCGUGCUUAUGUUUUCAUGGGUUACAGCUAAGAGUUUGUGGUUUUGGUAUCCAGGAAACUGAGGAUGCUACAAGUCAAUUCUAAAGAGAUGUCUUUUGUUUUCUCUCAAAGCAAUAUAAGUGAAGCCUAUUGGCUGUCCAGAAAGGCAUAAUACAGCUGUUUGUUUUUCACAGUGCAAAUAAAAGCACCGUGCAAAUAAAAUCUCCUUACAGCAGACCAAGCCUGUGAUGGUCUGUCUGCCCAGGAAGAAAGAUGACUCUUGUUACCAUACCAGUAGAUUGAAAGAUGCUUUGGAUUUUCUUUCAGUGAAAUAGUUUAUUAAGAAUUACA